AUUGAACGCUGGCGGCAUGCCUUACACAUGCAAGUCGAACGGCAGCACGGGUGCUUGCACCUGGUGGCGAGUGGCGAACGGGUGAGUAAUACAUCGGAACAUGUCCUGUAGUGGGGGAUAGCCCGGCGAAAGCCGGAUUAAUACCGCAUACGAUCUACGGAUGAAAGCGGGGGACCUUCGGGCCUCGCGCUAUAGGGUUGGCCGAUGGCUGAUUAGCUAGUUGGUGGGGUAAAGGCCUACCAAGGCGACGAUCAGUAGCUGGUCUGAGAGGACGACCAGCCACACUGGGACUGAGACACGGCCCAGACUCCUACGGGAGGCAGCAGUGGGGAAUUUUGGACAAUGGGCGAAAGCCUGAUCCAGCAAUGCCGCGUGUGUGAAGAAGGCCUUCGGGUUGUAAAGCACUUUUGUCCGGAAAGAAAUCCUUGGCUCUAAUACAGUCGGGGGACGACGGUACCGGAAGAAUAAGCACCGGCUAACUACGUG
RNAcentral lists this ribosomal RNA (486 nucleotides) under uncultured bacterium. RNAcentral's name for it is "partial 16S ribosomal RNA". It matches the Rfam family "Bacterial small subunit ribosomal RNA", at positions 30 to 507 of the family's 1533-position model. The record is from RNAcentral.